Molecule: long non-coding RNA, 899 nt
Filed under: Anas zonorhyncha (Eastern spot-billed duck)
Lineage: Eukaryota; Metazoa; Chordata; Aves; Anseriformes; Anatidae
Description: lncRNA (ENSAZOG00000008685.1)
Source: RNAcentral
GGCGGCGGCGGCGGGGACCCGCGGCAUUGUGCGGGCGGCUCCGCGCCCUGCGCCCCGAGGGGGCUGGGGCGGCCCCUCGGCACCGGCACCGGCACCGGCAGCAGCACCGGUAGCGGUACCCAGCACCGGGAGCAGCACCGGGAGCAGCUCCAAGCACCAGGACCCGCACCGGUACCGGCACCGACGUCAGAACCAGUCCUGACAGCAGCAGCAGCACCGGCACCAGUAUCCACACUGGUACCAGCAUCAGCAUCGACACCGGCGUCAGCACCUAGAUCAGCACCGGCAUCACCAUCAGCAUCAGUAUUAACACCGGCAUCACCGUCAGCACCAGCAUCAGCACCAGUAUCACCAUUAGAACCAGUAUCACCAUUAGAACCAGUAUCACCACCUGCACCAGCAUCACCACCAGCACCAGUAUCACCAUCACCACCAGUAUCAACCCCAACGCCAGCACCGACACCGACGCCGGAUCCUGCACGGCCCAGCCCGAGCUGGGGUCACUCGUCCCACCUGCUCCCACGGACGAGGGGACCGUGACUCGCCGCCUGCCCCAGAGCCGCUCCGAGGGGCACAGCGGUUGGAGCAGGGGGGGACCCAGCCCGCAGCCCCCAUCCCUGUGCAGCCCCUGGGAGCCGCAGGCCGGGGCUCAGAGCAGCACCCAGGGCACCGCGGAGACGCAGCUGGGCCAGGCUGGAGGGCGCCCGGUGAGGAUGCUGGAUGGGGACGUGGCGGGGUGGAGGGUCCCGGACCCCUGAGCAUCCCCUUCCCCCAUGAUGCUGCAACCAGGGGGGCUUCCCGUGCCCAAAUCUGCCAGCUGGGCACUGGGGAUGGGGCAGCCCCAUGGGGAAGGGCUCGCUGGGUCCCCACCACCCCACAGGGAUGCUGAGCGGAGGGGA